This 1473-nucleotide ribosomal RNA is filed under the name uncultured Bordetella sp. RNAcentral describes it as "partial 16S-23S ribosomal RNA intergenic spacer". It matches the Rfam family "Bacterial small subunit ribosomal RNA". Lineage: Bacteria; Pseudomonadati; Pseudomonadota; Betaproteobacteria; Burkholderiales; Alcaligenaceae. The record is from RNAcentral.
AGUUCGAUCAUGGCUCAGAUUGAACGCUGGCGGGAUGCUUUACAUACAAGUCGAACGGCAGCACGGACUUCGGUCUGGUGGCGAGUGAACGGGUGAGUAAUGUAUCGGAACGUGCCUAGUAGCGGGGGAUAACUACGCGAAAGCGUGGCUAGCCGCAUCGCCCUUCGAAGCGGGGACCUUCGGGCCUCGCACUAUUAGAGCGGCCGAUAUCGGAUUAGCUAGUUGGUGGAGUAACGGCUCACCAAGGCGACGAUCCGUAGCUGGUUUGAGAGGACGACCAGCCACACUGGGACUGAGACACGGCCCAGACUCCUGCAGGAGAGCAGCAGUGAAAUUUUGGAUGGAAGCCUGAUCACAGCCAUCCGCAGUGUCCGCGAUGAAGGCCUUCGGGUUGUAAAGCACUUUUGGCAGGAAAGGAACGGCGCAGGGAUAAUACCCCGUGCAACUGACGGUACCUGCAGAAUAAGCACCAGCUAACUACGUGUAGCCGCGGUAAUACGUAGAGGUCACAAACGUUAAUCGGAAUUACUGGGCGUAAAGCGUGCACGGUGGUUGAAAGAAAGAUGUGAAAUCGAAACAACAGACUGCAUUUUUAACUACAAAGGCUAGAGUGUGUCAGAGGGAGGUGGAAUUCCGCGUGUAGCAGUGAAAUGCGUAGAUAUGCGGAGGAACACCGAUAGCGAAGGCAGCCUCCUGGGGAUAACACGUGACGCUCAUGCGAAAAGCGUGGGAGCAAACAGGUUGAUACCCUGGUAGUCCACUUUAAACGAUGUCAACUAGCUGUUGGGGCCUUCGGGCCUUGGUAGCGCAGCUAACGCGUGAAGUUGACCGCCUGGGGAGUACGGUCGCAAGAUUAAAACUCCAAGGAAUUGACGGGGACCCGCACAAGCGGUGGAUGAUGUCGGUUAAUUCGAUGCAACGCGAAAAACCUUACCUACCUUGACAUGUCUGGAAUCCCGAAGAGAUUUGGGAGUGCUCGCAAGAGAACCGGAACACAGGUGCUGCAUGGCUGUCGUCAGCUCGUGUCGUGGGAAUGCAGGUUAAGUCCCGCAACGAGCGCAACCCUUGUCAUUGGUGCUACCCGAAGGGCACUCUAAUGAGACUGCCGGUGACAAACCGGAGGAAGGUGGGGAUGACGUCAAGUCCUCAUGGCCCGCCUGGGUAGGAAGCGCACGUCAUACAAUGAGGUCGGGACAGAGGGUCGCCAACCCGCGAGGAGCCAAUCCCAGAAACCGAUCGUAGUCCGGAUCGCGGUCUGCAACUCGACUGCGUGAAGUCGGAAUCGCUGGUAAUCGCCGGAUCAGCAUGUCGCGGUGAAUACGUUCCCGGAGUCUUGUACACACCGCCCGUCACACACCAUGGGGUGGGGUUUUACAGAAGUAGUUAGCCUAACCGUAAGGAGGCGAUUUACCGAUAGGAUUCAUGACUGAGGUGAAGUCGUAACAGGUAACUCUGUUACUGAUGCUCCCGAAG